UACGUAGGGGGGCUAGCGUUGUCCGGAAUCAUUGGGCGUAAAGAGCGUGUAGGCGGUCCGGUAAGUCCGCUGUGAAAGUCGGGGGGCUCAACCCUCGAAUGCCGGUGGAUACUGUCGGGCUAGAGUGCGGAAGAGGCGAGUGGAAUUCCUGGUGUAGCGGUGAAAUGCGCAGAUAUCAGGAGGAACACCUAUUGCGAAGGCAGCUCGCUGGGACGUUACUGAGCUGAGACGCGAAAGCGUGGGGAGCAAACAGG
Molecule: ribosomal RNA, 254 nt
Filed under: uncultured bacterium
Lineage: Bacteria
Description: partial 16S ribosomal RNA
Rfam family: Bacterial small subunit ribosomal RNA
Source: RNAcentral